CCAGACUCCUACGGGAGGCAGCAGUGAGGAAUAUUGGUCAAUGGGCGCGAGCCUGAACCAGCCAAGUCGCGUGAGGGAUGACGGCCCUACGGGUUGUAAACCUCUUUUGUCGGGGAGCAAAUUCCGUUACGUGUAACGGAGUCGAGAGUACCCGAAGAAAAAGCAUCGGCUAACUCCGUGCCAGCAGCCGCGGUAAUACGGAGGAUGCGAGCGUUAUCCGGAUUUAUUGGGUUUAAAGGGUGCGCAGGCGGCACGGCAAGCCGGCGGUCAAAUCGCGGGGCUCAACCCCGCCCAGCCGUCGGAACUGCCGGGCUAGAGUGGGCGAGAAGUGCGCGGAAUGCGUGGUGUAGCGGUGAAAUGCAUAGAUAUCACGCAGAACUCCGAUUGCGAAGGCAGCGCACCGGCGCCCUACUGACGCUCAGGCACGAAAGCGUGGGUAUCGAACAGGAUUAGAUACCCCAGUAC
Molecule: ribosomal RNA, 465 nt
Filed under: uncultured bacterium
Lineage: Bacteria
Description: bacterial SSU rRNA
Rfam family: Bacterial small subunit ribosomal RNA
Source: RNAcentral